Molecule: transfer RNA, 76 nt
Filed under: Promethearchaeota archaeon
Lineage: Archaea; Promethearchaeati; Promethearchaeota
Description: Candidatus Lokiarchaeota archaeon tRNA-Ile
Rfam family: tRNA
About the family: Transfer RNA (tRNA) molecules are approximately 80 nucleotides in length.
Source: RNAcentral
AGGAGUGUAGCUUAGUUAUUGGUAGAGCCCUGUGCUUAUAACGCAGUGGUCGAGAGUUCAAUCCUCUCCACUCCUA